CGUACACUCCUGCGGGAGGCAGCAGUGGGGAAUUUUGGACAAUGGGCGAAAGCCUGAUCCAGCCAUGCCGCGUGCAGGAUGAAGGCCUUCGGGUUGUAAACUGCUUUUGUACGGAACGAAACGGCCUUUUCUAAUAAAGAGGGCUAAUGACGGUACCGUAAGAAUAAGCACCGGCUAACUACGUGCCAGCAGCCGCGGUAAUACGUAGGGUGCAAGCGUUAAUCGGAAUUACUGGGCGUAAAGCGUGCGCAGGCGGUUAUGUAAGACAGUUGUGAAAUCCCCGGGCUCAACCUGGGAACUGCAUCUGUGACUGCAUAGCUAGAGUACGGUAGAGGGGGAUGGAAUUCCGCGUGUAGCAGUGAAAUGCGUAGAUAUGCGGAGGAACACCGAUGGCGAAGGCAAUCCCCUGGACCUGUACUGACGCUCAUGCACGAAAGCGUGGGGAGCAAACAGGAUUAGAAACCCCGGUAGUCCCA
Molecule: ribosomal RNA, 476 nt
Filed under: uncultured organism
Description: partial 16S ribosomal RNA
Rfam family: Bacterial small subunit ribosomal RNA
Source: RNAcentral